CAGGGGGUACCGUACAGAGUCAAUGUGGAGGCUAUAUACAGGGGGUAACGGUACAGAGUCAAUGUGGAGGCUAUAUACAGGGGGUACCGGUACAGAGUCAAUGUGGAGGCUAUAUACAGGGGUUACCGGUACAGAGUCAAUGUGGAGGCUAUACAGGGGGUACCGGUACAGAGUCAAUGUGGAGGCAUAUACAGGGGGUACCGGUACAGAGUCAAUGUGGAGGCUAUAUACAGGGGGUACCGGUACAGAGUCAAUGUGGAGGCUAUAUACAGGGGGUACCGGUACAGAGUCAAUGUGGAGGCUAUAUACAGG
This 312-nucleotide long non-coding RNA is filed under the name Salmo salar (Atlantic salmon). RNAcentral describes it as "lncRNA (ENSSSAG00000096839.1)". Lineage: Eukaryota; Metazoa; Chordata; Actinopteri; Salmoniformes; Salmonidae. The record is from RNAcentral.